UACGGAGGGUGCAAGCGUUAUCCGGAUUUACUGGGUUUAAAGGGUGCGUAGGUGGGUAGGUAAGUCAGUGGUGAAAUCUCCGAGCUUAACUCGGAAACUGCCAUUGAUACUAUUUAUCUUGAAUAUCCUGGAGGUGAGCGGAAUAUGCCAUGUAGCGGUGAAAUGCUUAGAUAGGACAUAGAACACCAAUUGCGAAGGCAGCUCACUACGGGAUUAUUGACACUGAGGCACGAAAGCGUGGGGAUCAAACAGG
This 253-nucleotide ribosomal RNA is filed under the name uncultured bacterium. Its description in RNAcentral is "partial 16S ribosomal RNA". It matches the Rfam family "Bacterial small subunit ribosomal RNA", at positions 524 to 776 of the family's 1533-position model. The record is from RNAcentral.